GGCUCAGGAUGAACGCUAGCGGCAGGCUUAACACAUGCAAGUCGAGGGGUAUAGUUCUUACGGAAUUAGAGACCGGCGCACGGGUGCGUAACGCGUAUGCAAUCUACCUUUCACAGAGGGAUAGCCCAGAGAAAUUUGGAUUAAUACCUCAUAGUAUAGCAGUUUCGCAUGAAACCACUAUUAAAGUCACAACGGUGAAAGAUGAGCAUGCGUCCCAUUAGCUAGUUGGUAAGGUAACGGCUUACCAAGGCAACGAUGGGUAGGGGGUCCUGAGAGGGAGAUCCCCCACACUGGUACUGAGACACGGACCAGACUCCUACGGGAGGCAGCAGUGAGGAAUAUUGGACAAUGGGCGCAAGCCUGAUCCAGCCAUGCCGCGUGCAGGAUGACGGUCCUAUGGAUUGUAAACUGCUUUUAUACAGGAAGAAACACUACUUCGUGAAGUAGCUUGACGGUACUGUAAGAAUAAGGAUCGGCUAACUACGUG
RNAcentral lists this ribosomal RNA (487 nucleotides) under uncultured bacterium. RNAcentral's name for it is "bacterial SSU rRNA". It matches the Rfam family "Bacterial small subunit ribosomal RNA", at positions 21 to 507 of the family's 1533-position model. The record is from RNAcentral.